AUUAAGAAUUCUCCUCACAAUUUAACUGUAAAUAAAAUACAAUGCUAAAAUACACUCCUACCAAAAAGGAAGUCAAUUUAAAUGACAAAAAAACAGUUUGUACAGAAAUACAAGAGUUUGAAAGAAAAGAACAGAUAGGUAUGUGGGUAGGCGUGGACAAUAGAGCAGGGGGAGUGCAAAUACCAGCUAUACCAGUUUUAGGC
Non-coding RNA from Pelobates cultripes (western spadefoot toad), 203 nucleotides. The record is from the annotation of a GenBank genome assembly. Lineage: Eukaryota; Metazoa; Chordata; Amphibia; Anura; Pelobatidae.